RNAcentral lists this ribosomal RNA (495 nucleotides) under uncultured Lachnospiraceae bacterium. RNAcentral describes it as "partial 16S ribosomal RNA". Lineage: Bacteria; Bacillati; Bacillota; Clostridia; Lachnospirales; Lachnospiraceae. The record is from RNAcentral.
CACGUAUUUAGCCGGAGCUUCUUAGUCAGGUACCGUCAUUUUCUUUCCUGCUGAUAGAGCUUUACAUACCGAAAUACUUCUUCGCUCACGCGGCGUCGCUGCAUCAGGGUUUCCCCCAUUGUGCAAUAUUCCCCACUGCUGCCUCCCGUGGGAGUCUGGGCCGUGUCUCAGUCCCAAUGUGGCCGUCCACCCUCUCAGGCCGGCUACUGAUCGUUGCCUUGGUGGGCCGUUACCCCGCAACCAGCUAAUCAGACGCGGGCCCAUCCCGCACCACCGGAGUUUUUCACACCGCUUCAUGCGAAGCUGUGCGCUUAUGCGGUAUUAGCAGCCGUUUCCAGCUGUUGUCCCCCAGUGCGGGGCAGGUUGCCCAGCGUUACUCACCCGUCCGCCACUCAGUCGCAAGCCUCUCCUUCCGAAGGAUUCAAAGCAGGCGCUUCGUCGACUUGCAUGUGUUAAGCACGCCGCCAGCGUUCAUCCUGACGCCAGGACUCUAAA